UCUCCGUUGGUGAACCAGCGGAGGGAUCAUUACCGAGUUUACAACUCCCAAACCCCAUGUGAACCUUACCAAAUGUUGCUUCGGCGGGAUGCCCCGGGCGCGGGCCGCAAGGCCUCAGCCCCGGAACCAGGCGCCCGCCGGAGGCCCAAACCAAACUCUUGUUUUUGUAGAAUCUUCUGAGUGGCCUUUUAGGCAAAAAAUGAAUCAAAACUUUCAACAACGGAUCUCUUGGUUCUGGCAUCGACGAAGAACGCAGC
Molecule: unclassified non-coding RNA, 257 nt
Filed under: plant metagenome
Description: partial contains small subunit ribosomal RNA, internal transcribed spacer 1, and 5.8S ribosomal RNA
Rfam family: 5.8S ribosomal RNA (bases 209-257)
Source: RNAcentral